GGACCUUUUUCAUCUUAAAGCAACAUUUACAAAUACAACAAAAAUCGUUUCCAACUGCAAAGCCAAAAGUCCCCAUUUUAUAAGCAUUGUUAUACAGUGACGGAAAUUCACUUUUUCCGGUGGGGGGCAAAGCCUCCUAAAUUUCCGACAAAACUUUGAAAUUUCCGACGUACCCCCCAUUUGCACUCGAAAAGACUGUUUUUAGCCCUCUUUUAGAUCAAAAUUUCCGAAAAUUCGUCAAUUUUCCGGAAGGGGGGGGGGCGGCCGUCCCCCCCCCCCGCUUCACCAAGAUUUCCGCCACUGUUGUUAUAACUACAAUUAUUUAUUACCAAAUGACUAUCUAUAGGUGCAAAACCGUACCGUGCUUGAAUACAUUAACUGAGUAAUAAAAGUCUCCUUGAUGAAAAUUACCAAACUGAAUUACAAAAAUCUCGACUAUACUUAGAUUGUACUUUGGAUUGGUCAAGAAAAGUAAUCCGAAAGAUUGCACUUUUACUACCGUAUACUGGACCAAUAAUUGUUUCUUGGAUAAUCACAGUACCUUCUCCAGAAGAU
Paramuricea clavata is the source of this 555-nucleotide non-coding RNA. Lineage: Eukaryota; Metazoa; Cnidaria; Anthozoa; Malacalcyonacea; Plexauridae. The record is from the annotation of a GenBank genome assembly.